CAUUACAAUUCAGUAGCUUGCUACUGUCAGAAGGCGCGAUAAGCCCGUAUAGUUUAAUUACUGAUGAGCGGCAGCCCUUUUGUUUGUACCCUUGUCUUUUGCGCACUCAUGUUUCCUCGGCGGGUCUGCCCGCCGAUUGGACAAAACUAUAACCUUUUUUAUUUUCAAUCAGCGUCUGAAAACAAUUAAUAAUUACAACUUUCAACAACGGAUCUCUUGGUUCUGGCAUCGAUGAAGAACGCAGCGAAAUGCGAUAAGUAGUGUGAAUUGCAGAAUUCAGUGAAUCAUCGAAUCUUUGAACGCACAUUGCGCCCCUUGGUAUUCCAUGGGGCAUGCCUGUUCGAGCGUCAUUUGUACUCUCAAGCUCUGCUUGGUGUUGGGUGUUUGUCCUCUCCUCUGCGAUUGGACUCGCCUUAAAGCAAUUGGCAGCCAGUGUUUUGGUAUUGAAGCGCAGCACAUUUUGCGAUUCUAGCCUAAAUACUUGCGUCCACAAGCCUUUUUUAUAACGCUUGACCUCGGAUCAGGUAGGGAUACCCGCUGAACUUAAGCAUAUCAAUAAGCGGAGGAAAAGAAACCAACAGGGAUUGCCCUAGUAACGGCGAGUGAAGCGGCAACAGCUCAAAUUUGAAAUCUGGCUCUUUUAGGGUCCGAGUUGUAAUUUGCAGAGGGCGCUUUGGCGUUGGCAGCGGUCCAAGUUCUUUGGAACAGGACGUCACAGAGGGUGAGAAUCCCGUACGUGGUCGCUAGCCUUCGCCGUGUAAAGCCCCUUCGACGAGUCGAGUUGUUUGGGAAUGCAGCUCUAAAUGGGAGGUAAAUUUCUUCUAAAGCUAAAUACUGGCCAGAGACCGAUAGCGCACAAGUAGAGUGAUCGAAAGAUGAAAAGCACUUUGGAAAGAGAGUCAAAUAGCACGUGAAAUUGUUGAAAGGGAAGCGCUUGCAGCCAGACUUGCCUGUAGUUGCUUAUCUAGACUUUUGUCUAGUGCACUCUUCUGCGGGCAGGCCAGCAUCAGUUUAGGCGGUUGGAUAAAGGUCUCUAUCACGUACCUCCCUUCGGGGUUGGCCUUAUAGGGGAGACGACAUGCAGCCAGCCUGAACUGAGGUCCGCGCAUC
RNAcentral lists this ribosomal RNA (1110 nucleotides) under fungal sp. 48 SAB-2015. RNAcentral describes it as "eukaryotic LSU rRNA". The stretch from base 511 to 1110 matches the Rfam family "Eukaryotic large subunit ribosomal RNA", at positions 1 to 605 of the family's 3401-position model. The record is from RNAcentral. Lineage: Eukaryota; Fungi.